UGGACUGGAAGAAUGUCUAUUACAGAUCUAAUUGAAGUAGCGAUAUCCAGCUGUAUCCUGGGGCUGAUGAGAGUAGGGUUUCUGGACAACUAAACAGAUCCAGAGUUAGUCGAUCUAAUCUCAAUAAUGGGAGAAAGGGAGUACAGUUGAUAUUCUGUAACUGACAACAGUUCGCGGCAACGCAUACUAUUUU
Molecule: ribosomal RNA, 193 nt
Filed under: Trichomonas vaginalis G3
Lineage: Eukaryota; Parabasalia; Trichomonadida; Trichomonadidae
Description: 28S ribosomal RNA
Source: RNAcentral